AGCAGUGAGGAAUAUUGGUCAAUAGCCUAACGGCUGAACCAGCAAUUUGUGGGAAUGCCUUUUUAUUUUAAUAAAAAGAGUAUAUUAGGUUUAACUUUAUAUAUUAUUUUUAUUAAAUUAAGAAUUCAAUACCUUUGAAUGUAAUUCUAGAUAAAAUAUUGAUAAUGACAAAGUUUUAUCUAUAUGUCUUGACCAAAUCUUGUGCCAGCAGUCGCGGCAACACAAGGAAGACAAGUGUUAUUCAUCUUAAAUCGGUUUAAAGGGUACCUAGACGGUGAAUUAGGCCUUAAAUGGAACGUUUUUACUAGAGUUAUAUAUGCAUGAGGACUGUGUGAGUAUUACCAGAGUAGAGAUGUAAUUUUUUGAUACUGUUAAGACUGGUAAAGGCAAAAGCAAACCUUUAUAUAUUAACUGACGUUGAGGGACGAAGGCUUGGGGCGCAAACAGGAUUAGAUACCCCAGUAGUCCAGGCAGAGAAUUAUGAAUGUCAUAGAAUAGAUAUAAUAUUUAUCCUAUAAAUGAAAGUGUAAGCAUUCCACCUCAAGAGUAAUGUGGCAACGCAGGAACUGAAAUCAUUAGACCGUUUCUGAUACCAGUAGUGAAGUAUGUCGUUCAAUUUGUUAACCCUCAAAAAACCUUACCACAAUUUGAAUAUAUUUAAUAGAUAUAUAUUUUUAUAUCUUUAUUUAUACAAGCGUUGCAUUGUUGUCUUCAGUUAAUGUUGUGAGAUUUUGGUUAGAUUCAUUAAAUUAACGUAAUCCUAUAUUCUAUUUAAAUAUUAAUAGAUUAGUUCACCGCUAUAUUGGAUAUUGAUAACCGGGAGUAAGACUAGUCGUAAUGACCUUAAUAUUGUGGGCUAUAGACGUGCCACAU
Molecule: ribosomal RNA, 873 nt
Filed under: Trypethelium eluteriae
Lineage: Eukaryota; Fungi; Ascomycota; Dothideomycetes; Trypetheliales; Trypetheliaceae
Description: SSU rRNA
Rfam family: Bacterial small subunit ribosomal RNA
Source: RNAcentral